Molecule: ribosomal RNA, 401 nt
Filed under: uncultured bacterium
Lineage: Bacteria
Description: bacterial SSU rRNA
Rfam family: Bacterial small subunit ribosomal RNA
Source: RNAcentral
GGGGAAUCUUGCACAAUGGGGGCAACCCUGAUGCAGCGACGCCGCGUGAGCGAUGAAGCCCUUCGGGGCGUAAAGCUCUUUCGACCGGAACGAUAAUGACGGUACCGGGAGAAGAAGCUGCGGCUAACUACGUGCCAGCAGCCGCGGUAAUACGUAGGCAGCAAGCGUUGUUCGGAGUUACUGGGCGUAAAGAGUGCGUAGGCGGUUUUCUAAGCUCGGUGUGAAAUCUCCCGGCUUAACCGGGAGGGUGCGCCGAAAACUGGUUGGCUGGAGUAUGGGAGAGGAAAGCCGAAUUCCUGGUGUCGCGGUGAAAUGCGUAGAUAUCAGGAGGAACACCUGCGGUGUAGACAGCUUUCUGGACCAAAACUGACGCUGAGGCACGAAAGCGUGGGUAGCAAACA